AUCAUUAAGUUGGGGACUCUAGCGAGACUGCCAGUGAUAAACUGGAGGAAGUGGGGAUGACGUCAAAUCAUCAUGCCCCUUAUGACCUGGGCUACAAACGUGAUACAAUGGCUGGAACAAAGGGAUGCGAAGCAGUGAUGUGGAGCGAAACCCAUAAAAACAGUCUCAGUUCGGAUUGAAGUCUGCAACUCGACUUCAUGAAGUCGGAAUCGCUAGUAAUCGCGGAUCAGAACGCCGCGGUGAAUACGUUCUCGGGUUU
RNAcentral lists this ribosomal RNA (259 nucleotides) under uncultured Acholeplasma sp. RNAcentral describes it as "partial 16S ribosomal RNA". It matches the Rfam family "Bacterial small subunit ribosomal RNA", at positions 1120 to 1381 of the family's 1533-position model. The record is from RNAcentral. Lineage: Bacteria; Bacillati; Mycoplasmatota; Mollicutes; Acholeplasmatales; Acholeplasmataceae.